RNAcentral lists this ribosomal RNA (110 nucleotides) under Bordetella bronchiseptica. The record is from RNAcentral. Lineage: Bacteria; Pseudomonadati; Pseudomonadota; Betaproteobacteria; Burkholderiales; Alcaligenaceae.
GACGACCAUAGCAAGGUGGUCCCACUCCUUCCCAUCCCGAACAGGACAGUGAAACGCCUUCGCGCCGAUGAUAGUGGAUGUACAUCCGUGAAAGUAGGUCAUCGUCAGGC